Long non-coding RNA from Gallus gallus (chicken), 485 nucleotides. The record is from Ensembl. NCBI's taxonomy places the organism in Eukaryota, Metazoa, Chordata, Aves, Galliformes, Phasianidae.
GUUUAAUGAAACAGUCAGUGAAAAAGAAUGACUCUUGGAAGAGUGGAUAAAACAACGGCAAGAAUGGCAGGUCCUAUUGAUAGAUGGUUUCUAUCAAUAAACAGAUCUGUUUCAAGUGAGCUACAUGGCAGGAACAAAAGGCAGGAGAGGCCUUGGAGGAGACACAGGAUGAACGUGGAGCGCAGCUGGAUCAGAUCAAUCACGCUUCAUGGCCAAGAAUUAUGGAAAACCUCCAGAGAGGUUCAUUGUUGCAGAAAUCAUCGUGUAGACUUCAGAUACAGCCCGCAGUGUCCGUCACUUGGUGCUUGUCUUGAGGAAAUGCUGCAGAGGAGCCUGUUUGGAUAUCAGCUGGAGAAUUAACCUGGUCAAGUUGGCUCUGCUGAGUUCAUAGCAGGAUGAGACUGUAAGAUGACAGGCCGUGUACUCAAAAACAUCAGUAAAAAGAGAAUAAAGUGGGACAGUGGAGGUCACUUACUGAAUGGAAA